GACGAACGCUGGCGGCGUGCCUAACACAUGCAAGUUGAGCGACGAACCAGGGCUUGCCCUGGGGCAAAGCAGCGAACGGGUGAGUAACACGUGGGUAACCUACCCCGAUAACCGGGACAACCCGAGGAAACUCGGGCUAAUACCGGAUGUGCUCACUGGACUUCGGUUCAGUGCGUAAAGGAAGCUUCGGCCUCCGUAUCGGGAGGGGCCCGCGGCCCAUUAGUUGGUUGGUGAGGUAACGGCUCACCAAGACCGCGAUGGGUAGCUGGUCUGAGAGGACGAUCAGCCACACUGGGACUGAGACACGGCCCAGACUCCUACGGGAGGCAGCAGUGGGGAAUCUUGCGCAAUGCGCGAAAGCGUGACGCAGCAACGCCGCGUGGGGGAAGAAGGCCUUCGGGUUGUAAACCCCUUUCAGGAGGGACGAAGGUUAGGCGGUGAAUAGCCGUCCGGACUGACGGUACCUCCACAAGAAGCCCCGGCUAACUACGUG
Molecule: ribosomal RNA, 493 nt
Filed under: uncultured bacterium
Lineage: Bacteria
Description: partial 16S ribosomal RNA
Rfam family: Bacterial small subunit ribosomal RNA
Source: RNAcentral